GAUGAACGCUAGCGGCAGGCUUAACACAUGCAAGUCGAGGGGUAUAUGCCUUCGGGCAUAGAGACCGGCGCACGGGUGCGUAACGCGUAUGCAAUCUGCCUUCCACAAAGGAAUAGCCCAGAGUAAUUAGGAUUAAUCCCCUAUAUCAUCACGAGAUGGCAUCAUCAUGUGAUUAAAGAUUUAUCGGUGGAAGAUGAGCAUGAGUCCCAUUAGCUAGUUGGAGUGGUAACGGCACACCAAGGCGAGGAUGGGUAGGGGUCCUGAGAGGGAGAUCCCCCACACUGGUACUGAGACACGGACCAGACUCCUACGGGAGGCAGCAGUGAGGAAUAUUGGUCAAUGGGCGCAAGCCUGAACCAGCCAUGCCGCGUGCAGGAUGAAGCAUCUAUGGUGUGUAAACUGCUUUUAUACAGGAAGAAACACUCCCUCGUGAGGGAGCUUGACGGUACUGUAGGAAUAAGGAUCGGCUAACUCCGUGCCAGCCGCCGCCGUAA
RNAcentral lists this ribosomal RNA (494 nucleotides) under uncultured bacterium. RNAcentral describes it as "partial 16S ribosomal RNA". It matches the Rfam family "Bacterial small subunit ribosomal RNA", at positions 28 to 523 of the family's 1533-position model. The record is from RNAcentral.